UACGAAGGGGGCUAGCGUUGCUCGGAAUUACUGGGCGUAAAGGGCGCGUAGGCGGGUCGUUAAGUUAGAGGUGAAAUCUCCGGGCUUAACCCGGAAACUGCCAUUGAUACUAUCUGUCUUGAAUACCGUGGAGGUGAGCGGAAUAUGUCAUGUAGCGGUGAAAUGCUUAGAUAUGACAUAGAACACCAAUUGCGAAGGCAGCUCACUACACGAAUAUUGACACUGAGGCACGAAAGCGUGGGGAUCAAACAGG
RNAcentral lists this ribosomal RNA (253 nucleotides) under uncultured bacterium. RNAcentral describes it as "partial 16S ribosomal RNA". It matches the Rfam family "Bacterial small subunit ribosomal RNA", at positions 524 to 776 of the family's 1533-position model. The record is from RNAcentral.